AUAGCUGCUUGGCGAAGGAGACAGCAUGAUGAGGAAGACUGUUUGCUCAGGGUGUUUCUUCUGUUGCUGUGGGGGUGUGCUUUGACCCUUGAGGUUCACCCAGGAGUAGGAAACAUGACUGCAUAAUUUUGGGGUGGGGAGCACAUUCACGCUCCCC
This 157-nucleotide small nuclear RNA is filed under the name Anser brachyrhynchus (Pink-footed goose). RNAcentral's name for it is "U1 spliceosomal RNA (ENSABRG00000007585.1)". The record is from RNAcentral. Lineage: Eukaryota; Metazoa; Chordata; Aves; Anseriformes; Anatidae.